Molecule: ribosomal RNA, 253 nt
Filed under: uncultured bacterium
Lineage: Bacteria
Description: partial 16S ribosomal RNA
Rfam family: Bacterial small subunit ribosomal RNA
Source: RNAcentral
UACGUAGGGUGCGAGCGUUAAUCGGAAUUACUGGGCGUAAAGGGUGCGUAGGCGGUUCGUUAUGUCUGCUGUGAAAGCCCCGGGCUUAACCCGGGAAUGGCAGUGGAAACUGGCGGGCUUGAGUGUGGCAGAGGGGGGUGGAAUUCCGCGUGUAGCAGUGAAAUGCGUAGAGAUGCGGAGGAACACCGAUGGCGAAGGCAGCCCCCUGGGCUAACACUGACGCUGAGGCACGAAAGCGUGGGGAGCAAACAGG